UACGGACAUAUCACGCUGAAACACCCGUUCCUGUACCAUUACCGAAGUUUAAGCAACGUCGAGCAUGGUCAGUACCUAGACGGGUGACCGCUUGGGAAUACCAGGUGCUGUAA
Acanthosepion pharaonis is the source of this 113-nucleotide non-coding RNA. NCBI's taxonomy places the organism in Eukaryota, Metazoa, Mollusca, Cephalopoda, Sepiida, Sepiidae. The record is from the annotation of a GenBank genome assembly.